Long non-coding RNA from Myripristis murdjan (pinecone soldierfish), 2061 nucleotides. RefSeq lists it as uncharacterized. The record is from RefSeq and is a predicted model, not a curated record. The transcript is spliced from 14 exons. NCBI's taxonomy places the organism in Eukaryota, Metazoa, Chordata, Actinopteri, Holocentriformes, Holocentridae.
AAGCGGCAGUGGAGGCGGCGGCGGCGGCGGCGGCGACCAUGAAAGCUGAGUGAAGGGACUCUGAAGGUUACUGCCUCUGAGCUCUUUGUCCGCGAGAGCAGGAACAGAGGAUUUGAAGCGUGAAGACGAGACUUGGCUUGUGGAGGUGCAGGUUUUCUUUGCGUGCUGCAGCCGUGCAGUCGAAGCUGCAGCGCCGGAACAAAGCAGCACCCAAUCCCAGCCUAUUUUGGACUUUUCUUCAUUAAAGCCAUUAGAGGUUUGAAGGCCUCGUGGUUCUGAGCACACACACACACACCAGCAGACCUCCAUGGAAACUUUGAAGUCAGGUGGAAAGAAAAAGGGGGAGAGAUGACGAAAGACAGAAGACCGCGACUGACGCCUUUGAUCAGAUUCAUGGCUCUGGUCCGGCCCGACCGCGCGGCCCAGCCUGGAUCCAGAGUGGCGGCGUCAACAUAUCCGAAGGGCUUUGGCUUCUAAAUCCCACUUGAGUUCAGCUGUCUGGUCAAUGGGACCGGGGCAAGACGCCAAGCAUGUUCAGCCAAGCCUCCCCUCCUCCCUCCCUCCUCCAUCCCUCCAUCCCUCCGUCCCUCCGUCCCUCCCUCCCUCCGCCUCCAUCCAGACGGCCUCCUGUUCAGCUGUGCUGCUCGCUGCAGGUUCCAGCCAGUGCGACUGUCUGUGUGUGAAUGUGUGUGUUUGUGUGUGUGUGUCCCCGUCUGGCGGUGCGAGUGUGUUCGGAUGUGACUGCCUCUGCUGGGUCCCAGCGGGGCUGCGGAUGGCCCCGCCCACCAGGACCUGUUCCAGCCAAUCAGGUGCUAAUGUGCGGGAACAGGAGAGGGCUGCGCUGACAGAUGGCGGGCUGACCUGGAAAACCUGCCCCCUUUUCAGGGUUCAGCAGGCGGCAGAUGACAGAUCCAGCUGAGCGCCGAGCGGCUCGUCUGUCCUGCAGACAUCAGCCCACGCAGCCCCCGCCCCCCCCCCCGCCCCGUCCCGCUGCAGGACCCGGGCCCUCUGACCUCAGGCAGAGGAACCAGGCCUCCGUCCCGUCAGCCCCGUCACGUCGAGCCGCCCGCCGCUCAGCAGCAAACCGCUGGUGACGGCCGCCUUUUUGUCCCGCCGCCCGCCGCCGGCUGUAAUCGCAGAGACAGGUGACACGAGUGUGGAAACCGGAGGAUGACGGGAGGACGGCGGCGAUCACGUGGCCGCCGCCGCACGUUUCCUGCAAGGGCAGUGCCCUUGGCUUCAGAGCUGCAGCCGUGAAGUUUGCAGUCAUGAGGCGACUUCUUCCCACAUCUGCUUCACCAGGCUCAUCCAGAAAGAAAGCACAGGCCACGCCCACCCGGCGGCCAUCUUCCUCUGACAUCAUCACGUGGCACGGCGAGACCCUGACAAGCGGCUGUGGUUCCACUGUUUCACGACUGAAGAGAAGCUCCAGAGGGACGUCGGCUCUCGUUUGGAGGCUGAAGAAUCACAGCGGCUCCGCCUUGUUUCAGCAGAACUUCCUGAAACAUGUGGGAUAAGCUCCUCCCACCGGCAGGUUUCUGACCCCGCUGGAAGAAAAAACCCGAUUUGAACAUGAAGAGGAGACGGAGAAACCUCGUAUCUGCCCCACCUGACGGCUUUCAGCGCGUCUGCAUGAGAAAACCUGCAUGUUGCUGCUGCAUGCAGGCGGGCGGCUCUGCUUUGACGCCUGGACGGACGCUUCCUGUGGCCUCGAGCGGCGAGAGGCGGCCGAGCGAGACGUGACGUGCAGGUCGGCAGGAAGGCUUUUCCACGCAGAAGAAAUAAAACCGUCAUCAGGAGUGUGAGAAGCUGCUCAGACGACCUCAUGCUUUCACUGUCGGAGGAAAAAUGUGUUUUCCUGUGAUGUUAUGAGCAAAUCCAUGAGGAGGAGCGGAGCGUCGGAGGAGGGCUUGGCUGCACGCUGCUCACCUUAACGUCUGACUCUGGAAAAUGAUUUUCCUCAGGAGAGGAGGCGCCGAGGCAGGAAAUAGUCCCGUCAGGAGCGCCACACCUGGACAGCAGCAGCGUGAAGAAACUCCUCCACCUGCAUGAAGGUACGUG